ACAAAUUCCUGAUGAUAGUGUUGUCUGUAACACCUGGAUUAGAUCAAUGCAUUUCCUGUUCCACACAGAGGGCAUAAAAGGAGCAAACUGAGCUCAGAAGAGGGACUGAAGUUCAGAAUGGAGAUUCUCUGUAUUGGUACUGUAUCGAUGUCUAGGCAAAAUUUGUAUGCUUUCUUAUUGACUUGCUUCUUCAAUAGAAGACAGGUUAUUAUUUUAACUCCAGCAAGUAAGAAUGUCUCCAUAUGCCUAUUGGACAACAACAAGAAGGAAAUAUGGUCCCCAUGCUGCAGCUUCUUAUCGGGAAUUGUGGUUUUUUGUAUCCUGCCUAGCACUGGCUGAGGGAGCAGAAGAACUGAGUUGCACCACACAUCCAAAUCACAGCUAUGUGAUCAACAGCAUUUUAGUUGGGCUUGACAGCCCCCAGAAGAGCAGACACGACAGAAAUCACAGAAGAUCUUUUGAGACCCCUGUUGAGAGGGAGCUGUUUGGAAAGUGAGAGACCUGCACAAGUGUUUUUUGUGUACAUUGUUUUCAUAUAUGGAACAUGUAGGAGAAGGAGGCUGUAAGGUCUCCAUGGGUGAGCAGAUAAUGUACAUGCGGGCACCACAGCAGAACAUUUUCUAGGAUCCUCUGAGACUGGGA
RNAcentral lists this long non-coding RNA (642 nucleotides) under Anas platyrhynchos platyrhynchos (common mallard). RNAcentral describes it as "lncRNA (ENSAPLG00000027348.1)". The record is from RNAcentral. Lineage: Eukaryota; Metazoa; Chordata; Aves; Anseriformes; Anatidae.